This 259-nucleotide ribosomal RNA is filed under the name uncultured bacterium. RNAcentral describes it as "partial 16S ribosomal RNA". The record is from RNAcentral.
CUGCUGCCUCCCGUAGGAGUCUGGUCCGUGUCUCAGUACCAGUGUGGGGGACCUUCCUCUCAGAACCCCUACGCAUCGUCGCCUCGGUGGGCCGUUACCCCGCCGACUAGCUAAUGCGACGCAUGGCCAUCCUAUGCCGGAGUCGCCUCCUUUGACCACCUGGAGAUGUCUCCAAAUGGCGUUAUGCGGUAUUAGACGGAAUUUCUUCCGCUUAUCCCCCUGCAUAGGGCAGGUUCCAUACGUGUUACUCACCCGUGCG